Molecule: long non-coding RNA, 207 nt
Filed under: Elaeis guineensis (African oil palm)
Lineage: Eukaryota; Viridiplantae; Streptophyta; Magnoliopsida; Arecales; Arecaceae
Description: long non-coding RNA (EGUI_LNC017942)
Source: RNAcentral
UCUCACCUUAUGUCUGUUUCUGGCUGAUCUAAUUACUGACACUUAAGAUAUGACACCUAGUUCAGAUAUUUACUGAUAUCAAUUAUUUUAUAUUAAUCUCUUACCGACAUGCCAUCAAAAGUAUGGAUAGUCAUAUGACAGCUGCUAUCCAGCUCAACCGUAACUGCCUUUCAGUUGUAUUCUAGUUUAUUUACCAUAUGAGCAGCA